Nannospalax galili (Upper Galilee mountains blind mole rat) is the source of this 500-nucleotide long non-coding RNA. RefSeq lists it as uncharacterized. The transcript is spliced from 2 exons. Lineage: Eukaryota; Metazoa; Chordata; Mammalia; Rodentia; Spalacidae. The record is from RefSeq and is a predicted model, not a curated record.
UUCUCUACCUCCAGUGUGCUGGGGUUACAGUAAAGCCUGGUUUAUGUAGGAUUGGGAUGGAACCCAGGGCUUCACGUAUGCUAGUUGUUAAAUCAAGGAAAAGGCUGUAAAUGGGGUGCAGUGGUAUAUACCUGUAAUUCUAACAAGCCUGGUGACCAAGGAAGGAAGAUUGCUUGUGUUUAGGAGUUAAAAAUCAGCCUUGGCAAUAGAGACAAUCUAUUUCAAAAAAGUACAGAAGCCAUGGUGGUACAGACUUGUAAUUCUAGCAUUGCAGAGAUGGAGGCAGGACUGUAAAUUCAGGCCUACCUGGGCUCAACAGAGAAACUCUGUCCCAUCAACAACAAAACCUGCCACCAAAAAUCAAGCAAACCAACCAGCAGCGGCUAACUGGAAGAGCAUCUAAGAAGAAUUAUAGAGCAAGGAGCACAUCACAUCAGACAUCACGGACUGGAUGGAUAGCUUGGCUGUGAAAGGCUCAGGCUAACAACCCCUCCCCGCCA